AGGACAUGUGGCCAUGAGGACUGGCUGCAGGAGAAUGUCUGCAGGUCUUGGGAAGCCUGGAGGGCAGGAAGCUUGAGUUCUCAACCAGAAUUUGGUUCUGAGCUGCGCCAAUUUAAGCUAAUGACUCUUCUGCUGCUGUGUAGUACACGAUCAUUUCUCUGGAGAUCUAGCAGAGAUAUAUCUGGUAUCUUCGUUCUGGAUGUGGAGACAAUGCCUGGCACCAUUUCAGAGGUAGGAGGAGU
Molecule: long non-coding RNA, 242 nt
Organism: Hemicordylus capensis (graceful crag lizard)
Lineage: Eukaryota; Metazoa; Chordata; Lepidosauria; Squamata; Cordylidae
Exons: 3
Source: RefSeq, a predicted model, not a curated record